This 404-nucleotide ribosomal RNA is filed under the name Bacillus infantis. RNAcentral describes it as "partial 23S ribosomal RNA". It matches the Rfam family "Bacterial large subunit ribosomal RNA", at positions 2528 to 2925 of the family's 2925-position model. Lineage: Bacteria; Bacillati; Bacillota; Bacilli; Caryophanales; Bacillaceae. The record is from RNAcentral.
GAUGUCGGCUCAUCGCAUCCUGGGGCUGUAGUCGGUCCCAAGGGUUGGGCUGUUCGCCCAUUAAAGCGGUACGCGAGCUGGGUUCAGAACGUCGUGAGACAGUUCGGUCCCUAUCCGUCGUGGGCGCAGGAAAUUUGAGAGGAGCUGUCCUUAGUACGAGAGGACCGGGAUGGACGCACCGCUGGUGUACCAGUUGUCUUGCCAAAGGCAUCGCUGGGUAGCUAUGUGCGGAAGGGAUAAGUGCUGAAAGCAUCUAAGCAUGAAGCCCCCCUCGAGAUGAGAUUUCCCAUAGCGUCAAGCUAGUAAGAUCCCUGAAAGAUGAUCAGGUUGAUAGGUCUGAGGUGGAAGCGUGGUGACACGUGGAGCUGACAGAUACUAAUAGAUCGAGGACUUAACCACAUUUG